CCUGGGGCUCGCUGGACCAGAGGUGUCUGUAGGCGGGCGUAGAAGAGUUUGUCCUUUCCUUGUCCGUCUUAAAAGAGAAAUUCUGGUUUCCCUAUGGAGGGACUGACGAAGCAGUCCAGUGGCUGGGGUAUAAUAUUUCAUCCCACUGAUCAGUUACAAAAAAAGGUAAUUCUUUUUUUUUUGUGUGUGUGUGUGUGUGUGUGGUAUUGGGGAUUGAACUCACAACUGCGUGCUUGCAAGGUAGGUGCCUAUGCCACUGAGCUAAAAAGAAAGAUAAUUCUUACAAAUCUUGUCUUUUGGGCCAGGGCUUUAGCUUAGCAGCAUAAGCGCCUGCCUCACAAGCGUGAGGUCAUGAGUUCGGUCCCUGGUACCAAAGUCUUUCUGGUACCAAAGUCUUUUUAACAUUCCUUGGUCCUCCUGUAUUUCAUAAAAUUCCAUGUCAAUAAACUAUGAGGGGUUCCCCAGCCACAAAAAUCUCAGCAUGAUACAAAGCACAGAAUUUUCACUUAAGAAAUUUCAAGAUUCUUUGAAAAUCUUAUAUCAAAAUUUAUAAACUAUGAACAAGUAAUGAUUAUGUUACAUUCUAUGUGUGUUCACAUAGUUCCUCUGGUACAACAGGCUGUGGAGAAUACCCACAAUAAAUUUAUCCCUAAAUUCAUAAAAAAGUCACGUAUUACUGUGACAAAAUUUCAAAUAAACAGUUAAAUAGAGGAAUGAUAUUGAGUCUCCAGAAGAUUAAAAUCUAGGGCAGUUACACUUCUUGAAAGGGAGAAAAAUUUAUAUGAUGCUUA
This 791-nucleotide long non-coding RNA is filed under the name Cavia porcellus (domestic guinea pig). RNAcentral's name for it is "lncRNA (ENSCPOG00000040041.1)". The record is from RNAcentral. Lineage: Eukaryota; Metazoa; Chordata; Mammalia; Rodentia; Caviidae.